Molecule: ribosomal RNA, 253 nt
Filed under: uncultured bacterium
Lineage: Bacteria
Description: partial 16S ribosomal RNA
Rfam family: Bacterial small subunit ribosomal RNA
Source: RNAcentral
UACGGAGGGUGCAAGCGUUAUCCGGAUUCACUGGGCUUAAAGGGUGCGUAGGUGGGUCUGUAAGUCCGUGGUGAAAUCUCCGAGCUUAACUUGGAAACUGCCAUGGAUACUAUAGGUCUUGAAUACUGUGGAGGUCAGCGGAAUAUGUCAUGUAGCGGUGAAAUGCUUAGAUAUGACAUAGAACACCAAUGGCGAAGGCAGCUGGCUACACAAAUAUUGACGCUGAGGCACGAAAGCGUGGGGAGCAAACAGG